Molecule: non-coding RNA, 2608 nt
Organism: Nelumbo nucifera (sacred lotus)
Lineage: Eukaryota; Viridiplantae; Streptophyta; Magnoliopsida; Proteales; Nelumbonaceae
Source: RefSeq, a predicted model, not a curated record
ACUGUGGCUACUUGGGGGUUAAUGCGCGCUCUCCAAAAUUUUGGCCUGCGUUCCCUCCGUUCUCUCUCUCUCUCUCUUGUUGCUAUUCCUUCCCCGCUGUUGUUUUCUCUCUUCCUUUCCCCCUCUCUCCUCCUCAAUUAUUCUCUGUUGUCUCCUUUAUUUUUCCUCUCUCUCUCUCUCUCCUAUGGAUUUGAAAAUAAAAGGUGUGCAUACCUCUAUUUCAAUAGUCUCAUUUCAAUAAACAGGCAUUGGGGUUUGCAAAGUAACGGUGUGUAAAGAAAGUGUAAAUCUGAAAAGCUGUAGAUGGAUUCUGGAGAUGAUAUUAGCAAUACUGGAUCGGCAGUAUAUCCCAAUCCCUCAAGGAAGAACUGGUGGAGUUUCUUCAAGGAUAAAAAAUAACCUUCUCAUGGGCUUGAAUGGUUUGAUACUAGAAUGAAGCUACCAAGUGGUGAUUACUUGGUUGUGCUCUAUUUCAGACCCCCUGGCCCUUUAGAUUAUUAAUAAGCAAAGGUUUGUCAAUGUUGAGAUAGCCAAUAUUUCUAAGCUUUCUAUCAUAUUUAUGGAAUUGAAUUGGCUUCUCUUAGGGACCGUUGAUUCUGCUUUCAUUCUGUAGUUGUAGACUCAUGAAGACUUGAAUACUGCAAGCUUCAAGGUAUCUGGGAAAAUUUCUGAGCUAAAGACUACUAUUGGUGUUAGGCUGAUGCAUCAUCAAGACAAUUUGUUAACGAUUAUCAACUACGAAUAUAAACGGUGGAGCUUUUUGGUGAGGAAGGAAAAAUCCAUAUAUAUAUCAUACACUGAAAAUGCAUAGCUUUGAUUUAACAAAGAAACUUCUUGUUGUAGAGGAUUGGAGCCUUUUAUUUUUCUUUUUGCUACAAAUCAGAUUCAAGAUGCCUUACAGUGAGUAGCAUUUGACAACAACUCAAAAGUUGGAUCCAUAUUCCAGGCCUUGAAUAUGAAGGAAUCUACACUAACAUAUUUCCAAACAAAUAAGUUUAUUUAUGCUUUUCAAGAGAUUGUUGAUGCAUAUGGGGAUCGAAAGCUUGGGGAUUUUAUAUUUGGUGUACCUAUUGCAUUGGCAUUUGUAGCAAAGUUCCAUUGAGAAAUACAUUUAUGUAUCUGUAUACCUAUUGCACUGGCAUUAGCAAUUCCGUUUAUCUAUGUGUAAUAGAAAAAGAAAUACAUUUAUGUAUCUGUAUGCCUUUGCAAAUGCAUGCAUGCCCGUGCCUAUGGAAUAUUGUUUAUCUGGAAUGGAAGAAUUGACAUAUUAUUUAUGUCAUAAAGUUGUGUUCUGUAUGGGCCCUAUAGGAUUCAUCUUUAUUCAGGCCAUUCAUUUAUAGUCAUGUAUAGGUCCUGAUGCGAUUCUCAUUCACUUGGAUAAGGAGAUUGAUUAAUUUGUUGGGUUUGAUGUAUAUACAAGGGAUUGAUUUUAAGUAGUACUGUCUAGGAAGUCAGUACUAGUAGAUAAGAAAAUAGGAAGGUAUUAAUGUCUAACCUUGCUCACAAUUUUCCCUUCGGGUCUAGUUUGUUUGGUGACUAGUAUCUGCCCAAGCAUCUUCCCUUCAAGCAAUGGGAACAUGGGUUUAAAAACAACAACUUGUAUGCUAUGUGCUGAAUGCUGAUGAAUUCAAUUAUGUGGGAGCAAACCUUGUUAAGAAUCUUUCCAGAUAGGCAAUUGGACAUAUCAUGAACAUAUCAGUCCUAGCUUAUACUUGUGAAGGGAAAAAAUCACUCUUAAGACAAUAGAGUUAGGAUUCUGAAGAUCUACUUCUCCCCUGUAUCAUCUUUUAAUAAACAAUAAAAAUGUCAAAAAUUGGCCCAAUUAUUGGGACUGCUUCCAUGGCACCUGGGUUCUCACGAUGCAUAUCCCCUUUGAACCUAUAUCUCUUGUUUAACACAAUCAUAGGGGAGGUGAAAAGGAAUUCUGAAGAUGUACUACUCCCCUGCAUCAUCUUUUUUGUUUUUUGCUAUUGAUAAGAAAAGAAGAUUGUGGGGUUGACUGGGAUUAGAUCUGAAUUCUUAUGACUGACUCUACCAAUUCAGGUUCAUCAUGUAGAAGUGCAUUAGAACAAGUGCAUAUCACAAUGCGGUUCUAUUAAUCAAGAUAUUAAUGAACUAAAUUUGGAUCCGGAUAUGUCCUAUUUGGUCCUUUGAAACAUGUUUACUUAUCUAUACUGGUUUUGUAACAUCACCCAUGCUUUCUAUAGAGCUCAACAGUAUUUUGAUUGUUGAAAACUGUAGUGACCAUACCAAGUGAAUCUCCAUUAGUGAUUGAAAACUGUAGACAAAGCCCUGCAUGGCUAGUCAGUGGGACCAUUGAGCUCCAAAACCACAAAACCCAACACUAUUUCAAGGAAUUGUGUGAGUUAAUCUAGAUCCUCUGCUGCAUGGAACUUGAAAAAUUCAAUCUUGGAAUGUUUUCUAAUUGCCUAAGUAUAAACAGAUAUUUUGGAUUAUUAUAUGGUUUUGACAAUUCAUUACUCAGUUAUUAAUUUUUGUAGAUUAAUUCUUUUGUUUUUGGUAUUGGGGAUCUUGUGUUCAUUAUAGAACCUUCCCUUUCUUUGUCUAAAAAUUUAAAUUUGGCUCUUGUUAAGUCUUAUGGUCUACA